This 245-nucleotide ribosomal RNA is filed under the name uncultured bacterium. RNAcentral describes it as "partial 16S ribosomal RNA". It matches the Rfam family "Bacterial small subunit ribosomal RNA", at positions 524 to 768 of the family's 1533-position model. The record is from RNAcentral.
GACGAACCUUGCAAACGUUAUUCGGAAUCACUGGGCUUAAAGGGUGCGUAGGCUGUGCGGAAAGUUGGGUGUGAAAUACCUCGGCUUAACCGAGGAAUUGCGCCCAAAACUACCGUGCUCGAGGAAGAUAGAGGUGAGCGGAACUUAGGGUGGAGCGGUGAAAUGCGUUGAUAUCCUAAGGAACACCGGUGGCGAAAGCGGCUCACUGGAUCUUUUCUGACGCUGAGGCACGAAAGCCAGGGUAG